Molecule: ribosomal RNA, 90 nt
Filed under: Shewanella sp. CG_4_10_14_0_8_um_filter_42_13
Lineage: Bacteria; Pseudomonadati; Pseudomonadota; Gammaproteobacteria; Alteromonadales; Shewanellaceae
Source: RNAcentral
UCUGGAAACCAUAGAGCUGUGGCACCACCUGAUCCCAUUCCGAACUCAGAAGUGAAACACAGUAUCGCCGAUGGUAGUGUGGGGUCUCCC